UCGAACGAAGCGCUUGGAUGGGAAUCUUUGGAAGGAAGCUCAAGUGACUGAGUGGCGGACGGGUGAGUAACGCGUGGGUAACCUGCCUCAUACAGGGGGAUAACAGUUAGAAAUGACUGCUAAUACCGCAUAAGCACACGUGAUCGCAUGAUCGAGUGUGAAAAACUCCGGUGGUAUGAGAUGGACCCGCGUCUGAUUAGCUAGUUGGUGGGGUAAUGGCCCACCAAGGCGACGAUCAGUAGCCGGCCUGAGAGGGUGAACGGCCACAUUGGGACUGAGACACGGCCCAAACUCCUACGGGAGGCAGCAGUGGGGAAUAUUGCACAAUGGGGGAAACCCUGAUGCAGCGACGCCGCGUGAAGGAUGAAGUAUUUCGGUAUGUAAACUUCUAUCAGCAGGGAAGAAAAUGACGGUACCUGACUAAGAAGCCCCGGCUAACUACGUGCCAGCAGCCGCGGUAAUACGUAGGGGGCAAGCGUUAUCCGGAUUUACUGGGUAUAAAGGGAGCGUAGACGGCAGUGCAAGUCUGAAGUGAAAGCCCGGGGCUCAACCCCGGGACUGCUUUGGAAACUGUGCAGCUAGAGUGUCGGAGAGGCAAGCGGAAUUCCUAGUGUAGCGGUGAAAUGCGUAGAUAUUAGGAGGAACACCAGUGGCGA
Molecule: ribosomal RNA, 656 nt
Filed under: uncultured Lachnospiraceae bacterium
Lineage: Bacteria; Bacillati; Bacillota; Clostridia; Lachnospirales; Lachnospiraceae
Description: bacterial SSU rRNA
Rfam family: Bacterial small subunit ribosomal RNA
Source: RNAcentral